Molecule: ribosomal RNA, 492 nt
Filed under: uncultured bacterium
Lineage: Bacteria
Description: partial 16S ribosomal RNA
Rfam family: Bacterial small subunit ribosomal RNA
Source: RNAcentral
AGUGAACGCUGGCGGUAGGCCUAACACAUGCAAGUCGAACGGCAGCACAGUAAGAGCUUGCUCUUACGGGUGGCGAGUGGCGGACGGGUGAGGAAUACAUCGGAAUCUACUUUUUCGUGGGGGAUAACGUAGGGAAACUUACGCUAAUACCGCAUACGACCUACGGGUGAAAGCAGGGGAUCUUCGGACCUUGCGCGAUUGAAUGAGCCGAUGUCGGAUUAGCUAGUUGGCGGGGUAAAGGCCCACCAAGGCGACGAUCCGUGGCUGGUCUGAGAGGAUGAUCAGCCACACUGGAACUGAGACACGGUCCAGACUCCUACGGGAGGCAGCAGUGGGGAAUAUUGGACAAUGGGCGCAAGCCUGAUCCAGCCAUACCGCGUGGGUGAGGAAGGCCUUCGGGUUGUAAAGCCCUUUUGUUGGGAAAGAAAAGCAGCAGGUUAAUACCCCGCUGUUCUGACGGUACCCAAAGAAUAAGCACCGGCUAACUUCGUG